CCUACGGGUGGCAGCAGUCGAGAAUCAUUCACAAUGGGGGAAACGCUGAUGGUGCGACGCCGCGUGGGGGAAUGAAGGUCUUCGGAUUGUAAACCCCUGUCAUGUGGGAGCAAAUUAAAAAGAUAGUACCACAAGAGGAAGAGACGGCUAACUCUGUGCCAGCAGCCGCGGGAAUACAGAGGUCUCAAGCGUUGUUCGGAACCACUGGGCGUAAAGCGUGCGUAGGCUGUUUCGUAAGUCGUGUGUGAAAGGCGCGGGCUCAACCCGCGGACGGCACAUGAUACUGCGAGACUAGAGUAAUGGAGGGGGAACCGGAAUUCUCGGUGUAGCAGUGAAAUGCGUAGAUAUCGAGCGGAACACUCGUGGCGAAGGCGGGUUCCUGGACAUUAACUGACGCUGAGGCACGAAGGCCAGGGGAGCGAAAGGGAUUAGAUACCCUUGUAGUC
This 446-nucleotide ribosomal RNA is filed under the name uncultured bacterium. RNAcentral's name for it is "partial 16S ribosomal RNA". It matches the Rfam family "Bacterial small subunit ribosomal RNA", at positions 338 to 795 of the family's 1533-position model. The record is from RNAcentral.